GAUGAACGCUAGCGGCAGGCUUAACACAUGCAAGUCGAGGGGCAGCGAGGGUAGCAAUACCUGUCAGCGACCGGCGCAAGGGUGCGUAACGCGUGAGCAACAUGCCCGUAUCAGGGGGAUAAUCCAGGGAAACUUGGUCUAAUACCCCAUAGUAAUGUUUUCAGGCAUCUGGAGAUAUUUAAAGCUUAGGUGGAUACGGAUUGGCUCGCGUGACAUUAGUUAGAUGGUAGGGUAACGGCUUACCAUGACUAUGAUGUCUAGGGGUUCUGAGAGGAAGGUCCCCCACAAUGGGACUGAGACACGGACCCGACUCCUACGGGAGGCAGCAGUAAGGAAUAUUGGUCAAUGGAGGGAACUCUGAACCAGCCAUGCCGCGUGCAGGAUGAAAGCCCUCUGGGUUGUAAACUGCUUUUAACAGGGAAGAAAAUGCUAUACGUGAUAUAGUACUGACGGUACCUGAGGAAUAAGCACCGGCUAACUCCGUGCCAGC
Molecule: ribosomal RNA, 490 nt
Filed under: uncultured bacterium
Lineage: Bacteria
Description: bacterial SSU rRNA
Rfam family: Bacterial small subunit ribosomal RNA
Source: RNAcentral